GGCGCGCGUGCGGAGGCGGUGGCGUCGGCGGCGCCGUCGGCGGCGCCUGGGGCCUGAGGAGGCGUCGUCCCCUCAGGCUUCGCCUGGGGAGCGCCUCGGGGCGGUGCGCCUCCCGCGGCUCAGGGACUGCUGCGGACCGGGGCCGGAUGUGACCUUCUCCUGCCUGGAAUAGCUCAAGUUCUUAGAAGUUUCAAUGCACACCUGAGGGAUCAUAUGAUUCUUGUUGCUAUCAGAGAGAAAAAUUCAGUAAUGGAUUCCUACUAUGAGCCCUGGCCAACCAAGAACUACAUGAGUGAGCAAUGAGGUCAAUGGGGACAGAGGAGCUGAGGAUGUUGUAUGUAUUAUGAGCACACCUGUGAAAGGCUCAACGUCCUCAAAACUAAAAACCCAUCAGGCAGCAGGAAAACAAAGGAUCUGUUGAAGAUCUGACAACUGAAGUCAACCCCUGAGCCACCUGACAGGAGAAGAAGAAGAAGAAAGAAGAAGAAGAAGAAGAAGAAGGAGAAGGAGAAGGAGAAGGAGAAGGAGAAGGAGAAGGAGAAGGAGAAGGAGAAGGAGAAGGAGAAGGAGAAGAAGAAGAUGGCAGGAGGGGAAGAAUGAAGGGGGGGAAUCGGAGGAGGAGAUAAACCAUGAGAGACGAUGGACUCUGAAAAACAAACUGGGGGUUCUAGAGGGGAGGGGGGUGGGGGGAUUGGUUAGCCUGGUGAUGGAUAUUAAAGAAGGCACGUUCUGCAUGGAGCACUGGGUGUUAUGCACAAACAAUGAAUCAUGGAACACUACAUCAAAAACUGAUGAUGUAAUGUAUGGUGAUUAACAUAACAAUUAAAAAAGAUUUAUAGGGAGCACUCAGUUCUAAUCUCUAUAUUCCAAGUAUACAAAUUGCUCAUGUAAAUGCUAAAAGCCAGGAAAUAAAUUUAACAAAACUUUCAGAGACUGGGAAUAAGACUCUUUGCUCCUACCUUUCAGGGCUCUGUAGUCAGGCUCUGCCAGCCUCGGACAACGCUAUGCCAAGUCCUUUGAUGGUGUAUCUUAGGCCCCUUACCACAAAAGACUCCCCCACCCCCGUAAACAGCUGAUCUUUUUAAUUAUAAAGUCUUUUUAUAUCUACUUUCAAAAGAUCCUCCAAAUUUAGAGAGUAAUUAAAAAGGUUAUUUGACUAUUCACAGCUACCCCUUCACAGAGAAAACAGAGGACCCAAACUUCUCCCAGGCCCUCCUCCAAAUGAUCUGUGAAAGGCCAAUAUUUAGGGGCUAAUACAAGCCAAGGUUAAAUUGUGUACUCAGAAAAUAGGCUUUUGUUAAUGUACUUUAUGCAGACAUUUCAAAAGCAUAAAUCUUGUUUUUAAAAUUUUUAAUUGAAUUCCCCCAGUUAAUUAACAUAUAAUGUAUUGUUGGUUCAGAGGUAUAGGCCUGUGAUUCAUCAGUCUUAUAUAAUACCCAGUCUCAUUAUAUCACAUGCCCUUCUUAAUGUCCAUCACCCAGUUACCCACUCCCCCCACCUCCCUCCCCUCCAGUAACCCUCAGUUUGUUUCCUAUGAUUAAGAAUCUCUUAUGGUUUGUGUCCCUUUCUGGUUUUGUCUUGUUAUAUUUUUUCCUUUCUUCCCCUAUGAUCCUCUGUUUUGUUUCUUAAAUUCCUCAUAUCAGUAUGAUCAUACGAUAAUUGUCUUUCUCUGAUUGAUUUAUUUUGCUUAGCGUGAUACCCUCUAGUUCCAUCCACAUCAUUGCAAAUGGCAAGAUUCCAUUUUUUUGAUGGCUGUGUAAAAUUCCAUAUACCAUUAACAUAUCUCACAUGUUCCCUAUCCAUUCAUCUGUUUUAGGACAUCUGGGCUCGUCCCAUAGUUUGGCUAUUGUGGACGUUGCUCCUCUAAACAUUGGGGUGAAGGUACCCCUUCAGAUCACUACAUUUGUAUCUUGGGGGUAAAUACCCAGUAGUGCAAUUGCUGGGUUGUAAGGUAGCUCUAUUUUCAACUUUUUGAGGACCCUUCAUACUGUUUUCCAGAGUGACUGCACCAGCUUGCAUUCCCACCAACAGUGUAGGAGGGUUCCCUUUUCUCUGCAUCCACCCCAACAUCUGUUGUUUACUGAUUUGUUAAUUUUAGCCAUUCUGACUGGUGUAAGGUGGUAUCUCAUUGAGGUUUUGAUUUGUAUUUCCCUGAUGCUGCGUGAUGUUGAACAUUUUUUCAUGUGUCUGUUGGCCAUUUGGAUGUCUUCUUUGGAGAAAUGUCUGUUCAUGUCUUCUGCCCAUUUCUUGAUUGGAUUAUUUGUUCUUUAAGUGCUGAGUUUCAUAAGUUCUUUAUAGAUCUUCGGUACUAACCCUUUACGUGAUAUGUCAUUUGCAAAUAUCUUCUCCCAUUCUUUCAGUGUCUUUUGGUUUUGUCAACUAUUUCCUUUUCUGUGCAAAAGAUUUUUAUCUUGAUGAAGUCCCAAUAGUUCAUUUUUGCCUUUGCUUGCCUUGCCUUUGAAGACAUGUCUAGCAAGAAGUUGCUGCAGCCGAGGUCUAAGAGGUUGCUGCCUGUGUUGUCCUCUAGGAUUUUGAUGGACUCCUGUCUCACAUUUAGGUCUUUCAAUCAUUUUGGUUCUAUUUUUGUGUAUGGUGUAAGGAAAUGGUGUCUUUUUUUCCAUUGGAUAUUCUUUCCUGCUUUGUCAAAGAUUAGUUGACCAUAGAGUUGAGGGUCCACUUCUGGGUAUUCUAUUCUGUUCCAUUGAUCUAUGUGUUUUUGUGCCAGUACCAUACUGUCUUGAUGAUUACAGCUUUCUAAUAGAGCUUAAAGCCCAGAAUUGUGAUGUCACCAGUUUUGAUUUUCUUUUUCAACAUUCCUUUGGCUAUUCAGGGUCUUUUCUGGUUCCAUACAAAUUUUAGAAUUAUUUGUUCCAGCUCUGUGACAAAUUUGAUGGUAUUUUGAUAAGGAUUGCCUUGAAUGUGUGGAUUGCUCUAGGUAGCAUAGAUAUUUUAACAAUAUUUGUUCUUCCAAUCCAUGAGCAUGGAACGUUUUUCCAUUUCUUUGUGUCUUCCUCAAUGUCUUUUAUGAGUGUUCUGUAGUUUUCUGAGUACAGAUCUUUUGCCUCUUUGGUUAGGUUUAUUCCUAGGUAUCUUAUACUUUGGGGUACAAUUGUAAAUGGGAUCAACUCCUUAAUUUCUCUUCUGUCUCAUUGUUAAUGUAUAAGAAUGCAACUGAUUUCUGUGCAUUGAUUUUCUAUCCUGCCACUUUGCUGAAUUCCUAUAUGAGUUCUAGCAGUCUUUUGGGUUAUCUAGAUAGAGUAUCAUGUCAUCUGCAAAGAGUGAGAGUUUGACUUUUUCUUUGCUGAUUCAGAUGCCUUUUUUUCUUUUUGUUGUGUGAUUGCUGAGGCUAGGACUUCUAGUACUGUGUUGAACAGCAGUGGUGGUAGUGGACAUCUCCACUGUGUUCCUUACCUUAGGGGAAAAGCUCUCAGUUUUUCCCCAUUGAGAACGAUAUUUGCUGUGGGCUUUUCAUAUGUGGCUUUUAUGAUAUUGAGGUAUGUUCCCUGUAUCUCUACACUGUGAAGGGUUUUAAUCUCUUAUAUGGUGGUGUACUUUGUCAAAUGCUUUUUCAGCAUCAAUUGAGAGGAUUAUAUGGCUCUUUUCCUUUCUUUUAUUUAUGUAUUGUAUCACAUUGAUUAAUUUACAGAUCAUGAACCAAACUUGAAGCCCAGGAAUACAUUCUACGUGGUCGUGGUGAAUAAUCUUUUUAAUGUACUGUUGGAUCCUAUUGGCUAGUAUUUUGUUGAGAAUUUUUGCAUCCAUGUUCAUCAGAGAUAUUGGUCUGUAAUUCUCCUUUUUGGUGGUCUUUGUCUGGUUUUGAGAUCAAGUAAUGUUGGCCUCAUAGAAAAAGUUUGGAAGUUUUCCUUACAUUUCUAUUUGAAAUAGUUUCAGAAGAAUAGGUAUCAGUUCUUUAAAUGUUUGGUUGAAUUCCCCAGGGAAGCCAUCCGGCACUGGGCUCUUGUUUUUGGGGAGAUUUUUGAUUACUGCUUCAAUUUCCUUCCUGGUUAUGGGUCUGUUCAGGUUUUCUAUUUCUUCCUGUUUCAAUUUUGGUCAUUUAUACGGCUCUAGGAAUGCAUCUAUUUCUUCCUGAUUGCCUAAUUUCUUGGCAUAUAAUUCCUCAUAAUAUGUUCUUAUAAUUGUUUGUAUGUCUUCGGUGUUGGUUGUGAUCUCUCCUCUUUCAUUCAUGAUUUUGUUGAUUUGGGUCAUUUCUCUUUUCUUUUUGAUAAGUCUGGCCAGGGGUUUAUCAAUGUUAUUUAUUCUUUCAAAGAACCAGCCCCUAGGUUCCUUGAUCUGUUCUACUAUUCUUUUGGUUUCUAUUUCAUUGAUUUCUGCUCUGAUCUUUAUUAUUUCUCUUCUCCUGCUGGGUUUAGGCUUUCUUUGCUGUUCUUUCUCCAGCUCCUUUAGGUGUAGGGUUAAGUUGUGUGUAUGAGACCUUUCUUGUUUCUUGGGAAAGGCUUGCAUAGCUAUAUACUUUCCUCUUAGGACUGCCUUUGCUGCAUCCCAAAGAUUUUGAAGAGUUGUGUUUUCAUUUUCAUUUGUUUCCAUGAAUUUUUUUAAUUCUUCUUUAAUUUCCUGGUUGACCCAUUCAUUCUUAGUAGGAUGCUCUUUAACCUCCAUGUAUUUGAGUUCUUUUCAACUUUCCUCUUGUGAUUGAGUUCUAGUUUCAAAGCAUUGUGGUCCAAAAAUAUGCAGGGAAUGAUCCCAAUCUUUUGGUACCAGUUGAGACCUGAUUUGUGACCUAGGAUGUGAUCUAUUCUGGAGAAUGUUCCAUGGGCACUAGAGAAGAAUGUGUAUUCUGUUGCUUUGGGAUGGAAUGUUCUGAAUAUAUCUAUGAAGUCCAUUUGGUCCAGUGUGUCACUUAAAGCCUUUAUUUCCUUGUUGAUCUUUUGCUUAGAUGAUCUGUCCAUUUUAGUGAGGGGAGUGUUGAAUACUAUUAUUGUAUUGUUGUCAAUGCAUUUCUUUGAUUUUGUUAUUAAUUGGCUUAUAUUAUUGGAUGCUCACAUGUUAGGGGCAUAAAUAUUUACAAUUGUUAGAUCUUGUUGGGUAGACCCUUCAAGUAUGAUGUAGUGUCCUUCUGCAUCUCUUAUUAUAGUCCUUGGUUUAAAAUCUAAUUUGUCUGAUAUAAGGAUUGCCACCCCUGCUUUCUUUUGAUGUCCAUUAGCAUGGUAAAUUGUUUUCCACCCCCUCACUUUAAAUCUGGACGUGUCUUUUGGUCUAAAAUGAGUCUCUUGCAGGCAGCAUAUCGAUGGGUCUUGUUUUUUUAUCUAAUCUGAUACCCUGUGUCUUUUGAUUGGGGCAUUUACCCCACUUACAUUCAGGGUAACUAUUGAAAGAUAUGAACUUAGUGCUAUUGUAUUGCCUGUAAGGUGACUGUUACUGUAUAUUCUCUGUGUUCCUUUCUGGUCUAUGUUACUUUUAGGUUCUUUUUGCUUAGAGGACUCCCUUCAAUAUUUCUUGUAGGGUUGGUUUGGUGCUGCAAAUUCUUUUAGUUUUUGUUUGUCCUGGAAGCUUUUUAUCUCCCUUCUAUUUUCAGUGACAGCCUAGCUGGAUAUAGUAUUCUUGGUGGCAUGUUUUUCCUGUUUAGUGCUCUGAAUAUAUCAUACCAGUCCUUUCUGGCCUGCCAGGUCUCUGUGGAUAAGUCUGCUACCACUCUAAUCUUUCUACCAUUGUAGGUUACAGACCUUUUGUCCCGAGCUGCUUUCAGGAUUUUCUCUUUGUCUGUGAGACUUGUAAGUUUUACUAUUAGAUGUUGGGAUGUUGACCUAUUUCUGUUGAUUUAGAUGGGAGGUUCUCAGGACCUCCCGGAGUUUCAUGCCUGUUUCCUUCCCCAAAUUAGGGAAGUUCUCUGCUAUAAUUUGCUCCAGUAUACCUUCUGCCGCUCUCUCUCUUUCUUCUUCUUGUGGGAUCCCAAUUAUUCUAAUGUUGUUUCGUCUUAUGGUGUCACUUAUCUCUUGAAUUCUCCCCUCAUGAUCCAGUAGUUGUUUAUCUCUUGUUUUCUCAGCUUCUUUAUUCUGCAUCAUUUGGUCUUCUUUGUCACUAAUUCUCUCUUCUGCCUCAUUUAUCCUAGCAGUUAGAGCCUCCAUUUUUUUAUUGCACCUCAUUAAUAGCCUUUUUGAUUUCAACUUGGUUAGAUUUUAGUUCUUUUAUUUCUCCAGAAAGGAAUUCUUUAGUGUCUUCUAUGCAUUUUUUUCAAGCCCAGCUAAUAUCUUUAUAAUCGUCAUUCUGAACUCUAGUUCCAACAUCUUACUAAUGUCUGUAUUGAUUAGGUCCCUGGCAGUCAGUACUGCCUCUUGUUCUCUUUUUUGAGGUGAGUUUUUCUCUCUUAUCGUUCUGUCCAGAGAAGAAUAGAUGAAUGAGAGAACAAAAUACUAAAAUGACAACAACUACCUUAGAGCAAUAUACAGUAAAAAAUCAGAUGAGACCCAAAUGGGGGUGGGGGGGAAGAGAGAGAGAAUAUAAUCAGACAGGCGAGCAGAAUAGAGCAAUACACUGGAUUCUGUGUGUAUUUUCAUCUGCUUUUUAGAAAACUAGAUCCCAAAAUUGUAAAGAAAGAAAACCUUAUAUAUGUACAAACAUUAAAUACAAGGAAAGGAUAGUAUGUAGCUGUAAAAAUGGAAAUUAAAAGUGAAGAAAAAAGAGGGGCACCUGGGUGGCUCAGUCAUUAAGCAUCUGCCUUUGGCUUAGGUCAUGAUCCCAGGGUUCUGCGAUCGAGCCCCACAUUGGACUCCCUGCUCUGUGGGAAGCCUGCUUCUCCCUCUCCCACACCCCCUGCUUGUGUUCCCUCUCUCACUGCCUCUUUCUCUGUCAAAGAAUAAAUAAAAUCCUUAAAAAAAAGUGAAGAAAAAAGAGAAUAAAAAAAGAAAAACCAACAACAACAAAAAAAGGAAAGAAUAAACAGACAGGUGAACAGAACAGAGCAAUGCACUAUCUCCUGAGUGUAUUUUGGUCAGUUUGCUAGAAGAAACUGCAUCUCAAAAUUGUAAAGAAAGGAAAACAUAUAUAUACAAAAAUUAAAUUAAGUAAAUUGAAAGGAUAGAAUGUAACUGUAAAGAUGAAAAUUUAAAAAAUACUUUAACAAAACAAAAAACAAAAACAAAAAGAGAAAGGAAGAAGAAAAAGAAAAAAAAAAAGGAAAAAUGACAACAAAAAAGAGAAUAUGAUCAGACAGGUAAGUAAAACAGAGCCAUACAGUAGAUUUUGUUUGUAUUUUGGUCUGUUAGAAGAAACUGCACCCCAAAAUUGUAAAGAAAACAAAACUUGCGUGUGUGUGUGUGUAUAUAUAUAUAUGAUUAAAUAUAUUGAAGGGAUAGAGUGUAACUGUAAAAAUGAAAACUAAAAAAUAUUUAAAAAAGGAGUUGAUAAAAUAAGAAAUUGGUUGAAAAGGGAACGAAAAAAAUAAAGAAUCAUGGGGAAAAAGUUGUGAUUUCUAUGUGCUGUAUUCCCCUAGCACUGGAGUUUUGCAGUUCUGUCUUGGCUGGAUGUUCUUGCUGACCUUUUGGGGGAGGGGCCUGUUUCAUCGAUUCUCAAGGAUAUUUGCCCUGGGUGGAAUUGUACUGCCCUUGCCAGGGGCCAAGCUAAAUAAUCUGCUUCAGUUUGUUCUAUGUGGUUUUGUUCCCUGGAGGCAUUCCUUGCAGCUUUAGAGGAUGAGAAUGAAAAUGGCGGCCUCCCAAUCUCUGGCCCCAGAUUUGAAAGCUCGGGGCCCCACUCUUCAGUGAGCCUUCAGAGAAAAGUAGUCAAUCACUCCUGUCUCCCUGGUCUCCGGGUGCACUCCGUGCUCACCUGGCCUGUGAUAGAGCAUUUCUAUCUCAGGCAUGCAACCCAGUUUUGAGUCUUCAAACCCUUCAGAUUCCUGUAACACAUUCUUGUACUGCUCGUCCUGGGGGAGGAAGGGGGGGUCUCAUUGGUUCUGUUGCUUGUUAGGCCUGUGCUUGGAGAGCAGUCACCCAACUGUGCCAUGGUUUGUGGUUUUUGUUAACCCUGAGCUGAGAGCCCAUUCCUGGGCUCACUCUUUUCAUCCAGCUUCCCUGUUCCGAUCCCUGGGAACUCUGCGGCACUGAGGUACCCCUGGUCUUCCUGUGACCCUGGGGAUCCUGGGACCACAUUGUCCCAGGGAGGGUUCCACCCCCGCUUAGCAGCCUGAGCGAUGUCCCUCACAGGGGCAGACUUCCAAAAGUUCUGAUUUUGUGCUCCGCUGUUCUAUUACUUGCUGGUAGCCGGCUAACAGAGGCUCCCUCCCACCACACUCUAUCUUCCCAUAUAUCGCCUCGGAUUCAUUUCUCCACACUUCCUACCUUGCUGAAAGUGGUCACUUUUAUAUUCAUAGUGUUGAAGCUAUUCUUUUCUUAGAUCUCUGGUUGAGUUUGCAGGUGUUAAGAAUGAUUUGAUAGCUAUCUAGCUGAAUUCCUGGGACCACAAGGAGAUAUCACCCCAUACCUGUCAGAAUGGCUAAUAUCAAAAAUACAAGAAUCAAUAAUUGUUGCUGAGGAUUGAAAAAGGACCCAUCAUACACCAUUGUUGAGAAUACAAACUGGUGCAGCCACUGUGGAAAACAGUAUGGAGGUUCCUCAAAAAAUUAAAAAUAAAAUUAUGAGGGGCACCUGGCUGGCUCAUCAGUGCAGCAUGAGACUCUUGACCUUGGGGUUGUGAGUUCAAGGCACAGGUUGGGUGUAGAGAUUACUUAAAAAUAAAAUCUCAAGAAAUAAAAUAAAAUUAUGAUAUCAUCCAGUAAUUCCACUACUGGCUAUUUACCCAAAGAAUAUGAAAACACUAAAUCACAAAGAUGUAUUCACCCCUAUGUUUACCACAGCAUUACUUACGAUAACCAAAUUAUGGAAGCAACCCAAGUGUCUAUUGAGAGAUGAAUGGAUAAAGGAUAAGUGGUAUAUAUAUAAAAUGGAAUAUUACUCAACCAUAAAAGAAUGAAAUCUUGUCAUUUGCAACAACAUGGAUGGAUCCAAAGGUAUAUUGCUAAGUGAAAUAAGCCAGUCAGAGAAAGACAGAUACCAUAUGAUUUCAUUCAUAUGUGGAUAUUAAGAAACAAAACAAAUGAGCAAAGAAAAAAGGGAGCAAACAAAAAACCAGACUUUUAAAUAUAGAGAACAAACUGGUGGUUACCAGAGGGGAGGUGGAUAGGGGGAUGAACGAAAUAGGUGAAGGGGAUUAAGAGUACACUUAUCAUGAUGAGCACUGAGGGAUAUAUAGAAUUGUUGAAUCACUAUAUUGUACACCUGUAACUAAUAUAUCACUGUAUGUUAACUAUUGUGGAAUUCAAACUAAAAAAAUAAUAACAUGGGACUGAGUAAACUAAGGAAGAUAAUGAUAAUUUUAUGACUUUUUGUUUAAAUCAUUGCAGACUCAAAAAACCUUUGUUUUUCCAGAUUUAAGAAAGUUUUAUCUGAAGCUAACUGAUUUACAGCAAUUUGACAAAUAAACCUUUGUGAAUACAUAUAAACAUUUAUCUUUUCUCCUUACCGGAUCCCUCCAAACUUCAGAAACUCUCAGUAAAUAUGCUUAUAUUUUUUAUGGCAAUGUAUUUCUUAUUUCAAAAAAGAACAUGUUCUCCUUGUAACAGGACACAGUUUGCUGGAAUGUCACAUUUGAGAGAGACACACAUAGACUCAGAUAUGACCAGAUAGCUUUAAGAAAUAAGGCUGACCUUAUGAAGCCAACAAAGCCCUUGGAAAUAUCAGCCUCAUACCUUGUUUACAGGGAUCCCAGCAGACUCACCAGAGAGUAAAGAAGGUCACUCCUGGCAGGUGCAGGAACCUCAAGAUAUUUUGAGAACCUCAAGAAGGGAGGAAUUCACCCAAAUAUAUGGGUAUCAAAGAGGAAGUCUGAUGGCAAGUAUUUGGCCUUAAGAGGCUAUGAAACAUUUAAUCUAGAUAUUCCUUAUAAAAGUUCUAGCAAAGCAGGUUUUAAGGAACAUAUAUGGUCAACUACUAUUCUUGUUGGAGUUAUGUAAAUCAUCAGCCUGUUUUUUUUUUUUUAAUUAGACUUAUUUUACAAACACUUGGGUAUUAAUUUGGCUAUCUUUGGUAAAAAUAAGGGCAAUUAUAAAGAAAAAUAUGCUUCAAUAACACACCUUUGUAAAUAUUAUAUUUUAAUAUUGAUCAUUAUAAACUGGACUAGAUCCUGCAUUCUCCUAGUGUCCCCCAGUGCCUGGCUACAACACUUCAAGAUAACAUUUUUUAAUUGUUCUCUCCCUUUCUGACAAUUGGAAUCAUUUGAUACACCAAACGUCCCCUUUUUCCUGAAGCCCUGCAAAAUGAAUAGAAAUGACUUGAUGUAAACUUCAGAGAAAUCCCCACAAAAGUUCAUGUAUAGACAAUUUUCCUGCUUGUUGCUCUGUGGGCCCCUCAAAAAGAUCACUAGACCACUACUGGCUAGAGACAACUGAACUGAAACUAGGGAAAUCCAUCACAUUGCCACCGCAUGCCCUAUGCCAUCUGAAGAUGCCUCCAGCCCAACAUCAAGAAAUCUCACUGGCAGCACUCCGGACUUAGACACUGGGUUUAGGAUUAGCUCCAACCAUUCACCUACACUUUUCCUUGGUUUCCAUAAGAAAUGCCGCUUCUCAAUUACCAUAGGGCUUAAUUGUGAGAGCCCACCUGCAUCACUGCCUCCUGAAAUAAGCUUAACCGAACGACCUAUUGUCAGAUUAAGAGACAGGUUCCCCAAGAGGGAACGAUCUACUGUGGUGAAUGGGUUAGUGAAUCAUAUAAAAAAUAUAAGAAUACUUAUGGAGAGUUUCUGAGUUUGGAGGGAAUCCAGUAGGGAAAAAAGAUAAAAGUUUUAAUUUGUUUACAAAUGUGUAUUGCUCUAAGUCAGUUAGUUUCAUAUAAACAAUUUUCUUAAAUCUGGAAAAACAAAAUAUUUUUAAGUCUGCAAUGUUUUAAACAAAAAGUCAUAAAAAUGGUCAUCAUCUUCCUUAGUUUAUUAGUCGCAUGUCAUUAAUUCUUCUGCUAGAAGCCAGUGUUCCCACAAGCUCCGGGAAUUCUUACCUAGCUCAGUUCUAUGAUCUUAAAGUCAUCAGAAUCUGCACUCAGAACUCUUUCUGCUCAUGGCCUCUGAUGGCUCAGAAUCCCUUGCUGUGCCUCUCACUGAAGACUGUCUCUUACUGUCUCCACUGCUCAAGGCCCUACCGGAGUGAAGCGGGGUGUCAGCAGCAUCCCCAGUGCACGGAGCAAAAGGACAAAGGACCCAGUGCACCUGCGCCCAUGGACUCUCAGUGUGGGACCUGAGAAAGUUGGUCUCUCCCUGUCUGUCUGUGUAUCUCUGUCCCUGACUCUCAUCCCCACCUCCUUCCUCUGUCAGCUGAGCCUAUGUCCACACUCCUGGUGGGGAAGGGCACAGGCUCACUCUACCCAUGACUUUGGUCUGUAGCUCAGGUGUGCUGUGUAAUUACUAGGUCUUAUAAGUAGAAAACCUUUAUUUUCCAAAGUUUCCUGUGUUGUUCCUGAAAGGUGUCUUGCAGUCAUAAUAACAACCACAAGGGUGGGUCUAACAUUGCUUAUGGAGCGGCUGAGACCUGCACAAAACAUGAACGUUCCUGAAGGGAGAAUGCUGGUUCCUGCCAUCUGUGACCAUUGACUUCAUUGUUCAAUUGCAGUGUGUGGCCCAGAAACAUCACAUUACUGACCACUCACCCCAUGGGACACAGAUCAAUCAACUGGAGUAUAGGGCUCAUGCGUGGUUUUCUUUGUCUCUGGACUUACAGGCUCCCCUCCUUUUCAAAGUCCCUGGGGUCAGCACCUUUCUGCCCCACCCCUUCAGUGAGGUGGGUCCAAACCUCUGUAGAGCAGCAGAUGGGAUAAUGUCACACUGUGCACUCCAUCAUGGACCCCAGACUUCCUAGAUGACUUUAUAGGCAUGCAGUAAUGUGCUAUCCCUUUGCUGUAGCGUUUACCGACCUGUGGCAACACAGCAGUGUGCUGUGACUGCCUUCACAGUGUCCUGUACAAGAGUGACACCACCAUAAAUAUAAUCACUAUGAUUCACACAUUCACCCUCCUCCUCCUCCCUCCACCUCCUGUCAGUCACUAACCUCAUUACCACCUCUCAAUUCUGGCCUCUUCCAAAAUGUAAUACAAUUGCAAUUUUAUGGAAUGCAGCCUUUUAGAGCUUCUUCUUUCCUAAUAUGCAUUAAAAAUUUAUUUAUAUUACUGUGA
RNA transcript from Mirounga angustirostris (Northern elephant seal), 12167 nucleotides. It is a transcript of the gene named zinc finger protein 280B, with no coding region annotated. NCBI's taxonomy places the organism in Eukaryota, Metazoa, Chordata, Mammalia, Carnivora, Phocidae. The record is from RefSeq and is a predicted model, not a curated record. The transcript is spliced from 5 exons.